This 701-nucleotide ribosomal RNA is filed under the name Ehrlichia ewingii. Its description in RNAcentral is "bacterial SSU rRNA". It matches the Rfam family "Bacterial small subunit ribosomal RNA", at positions 794 to 1496 of the family's 1533-position model. Lineage: Bacteria; Pseudomonadati; Pseudomonadota; Alphaproteobacteria; Rickettsiales; Anaplasmataceae. The record is from RNAcentral.
UCCACGCUGUAAACGAUGAGUGCUAAAUGUGAGGAUUUUAUCUUUGUAUUGUAGCUAACGCGUUAAGCACUCCGCCUGGGGACUACGGUCGCAAGACUAAAACUCAAAGGAAUUGACGGGGACCCGCACAAGCGGUGGAGCAUGUGGUUUAAUUCGAUGCUACGCGAAAAACCUUACCACUUUUUGACAUGAAGGUCGUAUCCCUUUUAACAGAGGGAGUCAGUUCGGCUGGACCUUACACAGGUGCUGCAUGGUUGUCGUCAGCUCGUGUCGUGAGAUGUUGGGUUAAGUCCCGCAACGAGCGCAACCCUCAUCCUUAGUUACCAACAGGUAAUGCUGGGCACUCUAAGGAAACUGCCAGUGAUAAACUGGAGGAAGGUGGGGAUGAUGUCAAAUCAGCACGGCCCUUAUAAGGUGGGCUACACACGUGCUACAAUGGCAACUACAAUAGGUCGCGAGACCGCAAGGUUUAGCUAAUCCAUAAAAGUUGUCUCAGUUCGGAUUGUUCUCUGCAACUCGAGAGCAUGAAGUCGGAAUCGCUAGUAAUCGUGGAUCAUCACGCCACGGUGAAUACGUYCUCGGGUCUUGUACACACUGCCCGUCACGCCAUGGGAAUUGGCUUAACUCGAAGCUGGUGUGCUAACCGAAAGGAAGCAGCCAUUUAAGGUUGGGUCAGUGACUAGGGUGAAGUCGUAACAAGU